RNAcentral lists this small RNA (29 nucleotides) under Bombyx mori (domestic silkworm). RNAcentral's name for it is "ovarian small RNA-36892". The record is from RNAcentral. Lineage: Eukaryota; Metazoa; Arthropoda; Insecta; Lepidoptera; Bombycidae.
UUAUUACAGCUUAGGAACAUAAUUUGCGC